UAUUGCGCAAUGGCCGCAAGGCUGACGCAGCGACGCCGCGUGUGGGAUGACGGCCUUCGGGUUGUAAACCACUGUCGGGAGGGACGAAUACUCGGCCUAGCCGAGGGUGACGGUACCUCCAAAGGAAGCACCGGCUAACUCCGUGCCAGCAGCCGCGGUAAUACGGAGGGUGCGAGCGUUGUCCGGAAUCACUGGGCGUAAAGGGCGCGUAGGCGGCUCAUUAAGUGGCUGGUGAAAUCCCGGGGCUCAACUCCGGGGCUGCCGGUCAGACUGGUGGGCUCGAGCACGGUAGAGGCGGAUGGAAUUCCCGGUGUAGCGGUGGAAUGCGUAGAUAUCGGGAAGAAUACCGGUGGCGAAGGCGUUCCGCUGGGCCGUUGCUGACGCUGAGGCGCGACAGCGUGGGGAGCAAACAGG
RNAcentral lists this ribosomal RNA (414 nucleotides) under uncultured bacterium. Its description in RNAcentral is "bacterial SSU rRNA". It matches the Rfam family "Bacterial small subunit ribosomal RNA", at positions 362 to 776 of the family's 1533-position model. The record is from RNAcentral.